CACUCUAGAGAGACUGCCAGGGAUAACCUGGAGGAAGGUGGGGAUGACGUCAAAUCAUCAUGCCCCUUAUGCUUAGGGCUACACACGUGCUACAAUGGGUAGUACAGAGGGUUGCCAAGCCGUAAGGCGGAGCUAAUCCCUUAAAGCUACUCUCAGUUCGGAUUGUAGGCUGAAACUCGCCUACAUGAAGCUGGAGUUACUAGUAAUCGCAGAUCAGAAUGCUGCGGUGAAUGCGUUCCCGGGUCUUGUACACACCGCCCGUCACACCACGGGAGUUGGAGACGCCCGAAGCCGAGUAUCUAACCUUUUGGAAGAAGUCGUCGAAGGUGGAAUUAAUAACUGGGGUGAAGUCGUAACAAGGUAGCCGUAUCGGAAGGUGCGGCUGGUUCACCUCCUUUCUAAGGAA
This 406-nucleotide ribosomal RNA is filed under the name Clostridioides difficile. RNAcentral describes it as "bacterial SSU rRNA". It matches the Rfam family "Bacterial small subunit ribosomal RNA", at positions 1136 to 1533 of the family's 1533-position model. The record is from RNAcentral. Lineage: Bacteria; Bacillati; Bacillota; Clostridia; Peptostreptococcales; Peptostreptococcaceae.